Molecule: long non-coding RNA, 639 nt
Organism: Anguilla rostrata (American eel)
Lineage: Eukaryota; Metazoa; Chordata; Actinopteri; Anguilliformes; Anguillidae
Exons: 3
Source: RefSeq, a predicted model, not a curated record
GUGUAAAUCUAUUGUCUGAUCCACACUCCGGAGCAGAAGGUGGCGGUAAUUCACCAAUAAGCUGGAUACCAACCGCUAUAAAACAAGAAGAAGACGAUGUUAUAUCCAAUCACAUGCGCAUAUUACUGUGAUGUAAGAGGUAACGUCCUCUUGGAAGAAGGUCACUGUGGUUUCAAAUUCUCAGUGGGAAAAUCUGGGUUUGAUGGCGUUCAAGAGGAGAGUUCUCUACAUUUGGCGCAACAGCUCAAAUGGAAACUAGAGCACAUGAUCAGAGUAAUGCUCCCACACAUGGCCUUAUGACUGUUGCUCCAGUGAAGAACCCAAGGUCCAGCCUUCCCCACUCAAGACAUGCCUGAGACAAGAGUGACUGUAUUCCAAGUAGAACAAUGCACGGGAGGCCUGUGAAUUUGGGCACUGUGAUUUGGAACUGUAUAGUACAUAAUAAGACUCUAUUGAGCUCUUCUAACCUUAUUAAAUAGCUAACAUGGAAAGCAUUUUUGAAAAUUAAGUAACAUGUAAAAAUGAAUGUGAUAUGUCUUUAAGGGUGUUUGCAAGCCCUUAAAAAGUCUUAAAUUGUCUUAAAUUUAUUUUUGUUCAUAAAAUUGUUUAAUACAUCAUGACAGUUGAAUAUAUCAUGGU